Molecule: transfer RNA, 71 nt
Organism: Strigomonas culicis
Lineage: Eukaryota; Euglenozoa; Kinetoplastea; Trypanosomatida; Trypanosomatidae
Rfam family: tRNA
About the family: Transfer RNA (tRNA) molecules are approximately 80 nucleotides in length. Their secondary structure includes four short double-helical elements and three loops (D, anti-codon, and T loops).
Source: Rfam
GGGGAAAUAGUUCAGUGGCAGAACACCAGAUUGUGGCUCUGAUGACCCGGGUCCGAUUCCCGGUUUCCCCU